AGAUUGAACGCUGGCGGCAGGCCUAACACAUGCAAGUCGAGCGGCAGCACGGGUACUUGUACCUGGUGGCGAGCGGCGGACGGGUGAGUAAUGCCUAGGAAUCUGCCUGGUAGUGGGGGAUAACGCUCGGAAACGGACGCUAAUACCGCAUACGUCCUACGGGAGAAAGCAGGGGACCUUCGGGCCUUGCGCUAUCAGAUGAGCCUAGGUCGGAUUAGCUAGUUGGUGGGGUAAUGGCUCACCAAGGCGACGAUCCGUAACUGGUCUGAGAGGAUGAUCAGUCACACUUGGAACUGAGACACGGUCCAGACUCCGUACGGGAGCAGCAGUAGGGGAAUAGUUGGACAAGUGGGGACGAAAG
RNAcentral lists this ribosomal RNA (361 nucleotides) under uncultured soil bacterium. RNAcentral describes it as "bacterial SSU rRNA". It matches the Rfam family "Bacterial small subunit ribosomal RNA", at positions 26 to 381 of the family's 1533-position model. The record is from RNAcentral.